UACGGAGGGUGCAAGCGUUAAUCGGAAUUACUGGGCGUAAAGCGCACGCAGGCGGUUUGUUAAGUCAGAUGUGAAAUCCCCGGGCUUAACCUGGGAAUUGCAUUUCAGACUGGGAAUCUAGAGUACUUUAGGGAGGGGUAGAAUUCCACGUGUAGCGGUGAAAUGCGUAGAGAUCUGGAGGAAUACCGGUGGCGAAGGCGGCCCCCUGGACGAAGACUGACGCUCAGGUGCGAAAGCGUGGGGAGCAAACAGG
RNAcentral lists this ribosomal RNA (253 nucleotides) under uncultured bacterium. Its description in RNAcentral is "partial 16S ribosomal RNA". It matches the Rfam family "Bacterial small subunit ribosomal RNA", at positions 524 to 776 of the family's 1533-position model. The record is from RNAcentral.